Molecule: non-coding RNA, 363 nt
Organism: Chrysemys picta bellii (western painted turtle)
Lineage: Eukaryota; Metazoa; Chordata; Testudines; Emydidae
Source: the annotation of a RefSeq genome assembly
AUGAGACUUUGGCUCCAUUUGGUUCUCAUUGUAGCGGCUCUGGAAGGUGUCCGGUCCCAGGUGCAGCUGGUGGAGUCCGGAGGGGAUGUGAAAAAGCCCGGAGACUCUCUCCGCCUCUCCUGCAAAGCCUCCGGGUUCACCUUCAGCGGCUACACUAUGUACUGGGUCCGACAGGCUCCCGGGAAGGGACUGGAGUGGGUGUCACGUAUUUACGAUGACGGGAGUGCUGUGUACUACGCCGACACAGUGAAAGGGCGAUUCACCAUCUCCAGGGACAAUCCCAAGAACCUGCUGUAUCUGCAAAUGAGCAAUUUGAAGCCUGAGGACACCGGCCGCUAUUACUGUGCGAGAGACACACAGUGA